CACGGGUGAGUAACACGUAUCCAACCUGCCGUCUACUCUUGGACAGCCUUCUGAAAGGAAGAUUAAUACAAGAUGGCAUCAUGAGUCCGCAUGUUCACAUGAUUAAAGGUAUUCCGGUAGACGAUGGGGAUGCCUUCCAUUAGAUAGUAGGCGGGGUAACGGCCCACCUAGUCUUCGAUGGAUAGGGGUUCUGAGAGGAAGGUCCCCCACAUUGGAACUGAGACACGGUCCAA
RNAcentral lists this ribosomal RNA (233 nucleotides) under uncultured bacterium. Its description in RNAcentral is "partial 16S ribosomal RNA". It matches the Rfam family "Bacterial small subunit ribosomal RNA", at positions 102 to 334 of the family's 1533-position model. The record is from RNAcentral.